This 253-nucleotide ribosomal RNA is filed under the name uncultured bacterium. Its description in RNAcentral is "partial 16S ribosomal RNA". It matches the Rfam family "Bacterial small subunit ribosomal RNA", at positions 524 to 776 of the family's 1533-position model. The record is from RNAcentral.
UACGUAGGGUGCAAGCGUUAAUCGGAAUUACUGGGCGUAAAGCGUGCGCAGGCGGUCUUGCAAGACAGAUGUGAAAUCCCCGGGCUCAACCUGGGAACUGCAUUUGUGACUGCGAGGCUGGAGUACGGUAGAGGGGGAUGGAAUUCCGCGUGUAGCAGUGAAAUGCGUAGAUAUGCGGAGGAACACCGAUGGCGAAGGCAAUCCCCUGGACCUGUACUGGCGCUCAUGCACGAAAGCGUGGGGAGCAAACAGG